This 2902-nucleotide ribosomal RNA is filed under the name Klebsiella pneumoniae. RNAcentral's name for it is "23S ribosomal RNA". It matches the Rfam family "Bacterial large subunit ribosomal RNA". The record is from RNAcentral. Lineage: Bacteria; Pseudomonadati; Pseudomonadota; Gammaproteobacteria; Enterobacterales; Enterobacteriaceae.
GGUUAAGCGACUAAGCGUACACGGUGGAUGCCCUGGCAGUCAGAGGCGAUGAAGGACGUGCUAAUCUGCGAAAAGCGUCGGUAAGGUGAUAUGAACCGUUAUAACCGGCGAUGUCCGAAUGGGGAAACCCAGUGCAAUUCGUUGCACUAUCGUUAACUGAAUACAUAGGUUAACGAGGCGAACCGGGGGAACUGAAACAUCUAAGUACCCCGAGGAAAAGAAAUCAACCGAGAUUCCCCCAGUAGCGGCGAGCGAACGGGGAGCAGCCCAGAGUCUGAAUCAGCUUGUGUGUUAGUGGAACGGUCUGGAAAGUCCGACGGUACAGGGUGAUAGUCCCGUACACCAAAAUGCACAGGUUGUGAACUCGAAGAGUAGGGCGGGACACGUGGUAUCCUGUCUGAAUAUGGGGGGACCAUCCUCCAAGGCUAAAUACUCCUGACUGACCGAUAGUGAACCAGUACCGUGAGGGAAAGGCGAAAAGAACCCCGGCGAGGGGAGUGAAAAAGAACCUGAAACCGUGUACGUACAAGCAGUGGGAGCACCUUCGGGUGUGACUGCGUACCUUUUGUAUAAUGGGUCAGCGACUUAUAUUCUGUAGCAAGGUUAACCGUAUAGGGGAGCCGCAGGGAAACCGAGUCUUAACUGGGCGUUAAGUUGCAGGGUAUAGACCCGAAACCCGGUGAUCUAGCCAUGGGCAGGUUGAAGGUUGGGUAACACUAACUGGAGGACCGAACCGACUAAUGUUGAAAAAUUAGCGGAUGACUUGUGGCUGGGGGUGAAAGGCCAAUCAAACCGGGAGAUAGCUGGUUCUCCCCGAAAGCUAUUUAGGUAGCGCCUCGUGAACUCAUCUUCGGGGGUAGAGCACUGUUUCGGCUAGGGGGUCAUCCCGACUUACCAACCCGAUGCAAACUACGAAUACCGAAGAAUGUUAUCACGGGAGACACACGGCGGGUGCUAACGUCCGUCGUGAAGAGGGAAACAACCCAGACCGCCAGCUAAGGUCCCAAAGUCAUGGUUAAGUGGGAAACGAUGUGGGAAGGCACAGACAGCCAGGAUGUUGGCUUAGAAGCAGCCAUCAUUUAAAGAAAGCGUAAUAGCUCACUGGUCGAGUCGGCCUGCGCGGAAGAUGUAACGGGGCUAAACCAUGCACCGAAGCUGCGGCAGCGACACUAUGUGUUGUUGGGUAGGGGAGCGUUCUGUAAGCCUGCGAAGGUGACCUGUGAGGGUUGCUGGAGGUAUCAGAAGUGCGAAUGCUGACAUAAGUAACGAUAAAGCGGGUGAAAAGCCCGCUCGCCGGAAGACCAAGGGUUCCUGUCCAACGUUAAUCGGGGCAGGGUGAGUCGACCCCUAAGGCGAGGCCGAAAGGCGUAGUCGAUGGGAAACAGGUUAAUAUUCCUGUACUUGGUGUUACUGCGAAGGGGGGACGGAGAAGGCUAUGUUAGCCGGGCGACGGUUGUCCCGGUUUAAGCAUGUAGGCUGAUUAUCCAGGCAAAUCCGGAUAAUCAAGGCUGAGGUGUGAUGACGAGGCACUACGGUGCUGAAGUAACAAAUGCCCUGCUUCCAGGAAAAGCCUCUAAGCAUCAGGUAACAUCAAAUCGUACCCCAAACCGACACAGGUGGUCAGGUAGAGAAUACCAAGGCGCUUGAGAGAACUCGGGUGAAGGAACUAGGCAAAAUGGUGCCGUAACUUCGGGAGAAGGCACGCUGGUGUGUAGGUGAAGUCCCUGCGGAUGGAGCUGAGACCAGUCGAAGAUACCAGCUGGCUGCAACUGUUUAUUAAAAACACAGCACUGUGCAAACACGAAAGUGGACGUAUACGGUGUGACGCCUGCCCGGUGCCGGAAGGUUAAUUGAUGGGGUUAUCCGUAAGGAGAAGCUCUUGAUCGAAGCCCCGGUAAACGGCGGCCGUAACUAUAACGGUCCUAAGGUAGCGAAAUUCCUUGUCGGGUAAGUUCCGACCUGCACGAAUGGCGUAAUGAUGGCCAGGCUGUCUCCACCCGAGACUCAGUGAAAUUGAACUCGCUGUGAAGAUGCAGUGUACCCGCGGCAAGACGGAAAGACCCCGUGAACCUUUACUAUAGCUUGACACUGAACAUUGAGCCUUGAUGUGUAGGAUAGGUGGGAGGCUUUGAAGCGUGGACGCCAGUCUGCGUGGAGCCAACCUUGAAAUACCACCCUUUAAUGUUUGAUGUUCUAACGUUGGCCCCUGACCGGGGUUGCGGACAGUGUCUGGUGGGUAGUUUGACUGGGGCGGUCUCCUCCCAAAGCGUAACGGAGGAGCACGAAGGUUAGCUAAUCCUGGUCGGACAUCAGGAGGUUAGUGCAAUGGCAUAAGCUAGCUUGACUGCGAGCGUGACGGCGCGAGCAGGUGCGAAAGCAGGUCAUAGUGAUCCGGUGGUUCUGAAUGGAAGGGCCAUCGCUCAACGGAUAAAAGGUACUCCGGGGAUAACAGGCUGAUACCGCCCAAGAGUUCAUAUCGACGGCGGUGUUUGGCACCUCGAUGUCGGCUCAUCACAUCCUGGGGCUGAAGUAGGUCCCAAGGGUAUGGCUGUUCGCCAUUUAAAGUGGUACGCGAGCUGGGUUUAGAACGUCGUGAGACAGUUCGGUCCCUAUCUGCCGUGGGCGCUGGAGAAUUGAGGGGGGCUGCUCCUAGUACGAGAGGACCGGAGUGGACGCAUCACUGGUGUUCGGGUUGUCAUGCCAAUGGCACUGCCCGGUAGCUAAAUGCGGAAGAGAUAAGUGCUGAAAGCAUCUAAGCACGAAACUUGCCCCGAGAUGAGUUCUCCCUGAGACUUUAAGUCUCCUGAAGGAACGUUAAAGACGAUGACGUUGAUAGGCCGGGUGUGUAAGCGCAGCGAUGCGUUGAGCUAACCGGUACUAAUGAACCGUGAGGCUUAACCUU